This 407-nucleotide ribosomal RNA is filed under the name Verrucomicrobiota bacterium. Its description in RNAcentral is "Verrucomicrobia bacterium partial 16S ribosomal RNA". It matches the Rfam family "Bacterial small subunit ribosomal RNA", at positions 355 to 776 of the family's 1533-position model. The record is from RNAcentral. Lineage: Bacteria; Pseudomonadati; Verrucomicrobiota.
UGGGGAAUAUUGGGCAAUGGGCGAAAGCCUGACCCAGCAACGCCGCGUGAGUGAUGAAGGCCUUCGGGUUGUAAAACUCUUUGGACAGGGACGAAGAAAGUGACGGUACCUGUAGAACAAGCCACGGCUAACUACGUGCCAGCAGCCGCGGUAAUACGUAGGUGGCGAGCGUUAUCCGGAUUUAUUGGGUUUAAAGGGAGCGUAGGCUGUCUAUUAAGCGUGUUGUGAAAUUUACCGGCUCAACCGGUGGCUUGCAGCGCGAACUGGUCGACUUGAGUAUGCAGGAAGUAGGCGGAAUUCAUGGUGUAGCGAUGAAAUGCUUAGAUAUCAUGACGAACUCCGAUUGCGCAGGCAGCUUACUGUAGCAUAACUGACGCUGAUGCUCGAAAGUGCGGGUAUCAAACAGG